CCUACGGGAGGCAGCAGUGGGGAAUAUUGCGCAAUGGGGGGAACCCUGAUGCAGCGACGCCGCGUGAGUGAAGAAGUAAUUCGUUAUGUAAAGCUCUAUCAGCAGGGAAGAAAGUGACGGUACCUGAGUAAGAAGCACCGGCUAACUACGUGCCCGCAGCCGCGGGAAUAAGUAGGGGGCAAGCGUUAGCCGGAUUUGCUGGGUGGAAAGGGAGCGUAGACGGCAGUGCAAGUCUGGAGUGAAAGGCGGGGGCUCAACCCCCGGACUGCUCUGGAAACUGUACGGCUGGAGUGCAGGAGAGGUAAGUGGAAUUCCUAGUGUAGCGGUGAAAUGCGUAGAUAUUAGGAGGAACACCAGUGGCGAAGGCGGCUUACUGGAUUGUAACUGACGUUGAGGCUCGAAAGCGUGGGGAGCAAACAGGAUUAGAUACCCUUGUAGUC
Molecule: ribosomal RNA, 440 nt
Filed under: uncultured bacterium
Lineage: Bacteria
Description: partial 16S ribosomal RNA
Rfam family: Bacterial small subunit ribosomal RNA
Source: RNAcentral